RNAcentral lists this ribosomal RNA (235 nucleotides) under uncultured bacterium. RNAcentral describes it as "partial 16S ribosomal RNA". It matches the Rfam family "Bacterial small subunit ribosomal RNA", at positions 85 to 334 of the family's 1533-position model. The record is from RNAcentral.
CCUUAGUAAAGUGGCGUACGGGUGAGUAACACGUGGAUCAUACACCUUUUAGUGGGGAAUAACUUUGGGAAACCGAAGCUAAUACCGCAUAAGCCCGAGAGGGGAAAGCAGCAAUGCGCUGAAAGAGUAGUCCGCGGCUGAUUAGCUAGUUGGUGAGGUAAUGGCUCACCAAGGCUUUGAUCGGUAGCCGGCCUGAGAGGGCUCACGGCCACACUGGCACUGAAACACGGGCCAG